Molecule: ribosomal RNA, 443 nt
Filed under: uncultured archaeon
Lineage: Archaea
Description: bacterial SSU rRNA
Rfam family: Archaeal small subunit ribosomal RNA
Source: RNAcentral
CUAAGCCACGCGAAGUCUGCCAGUCAAAGCACGUUGGCUAGCGGCGAACGGCUCAGUAACACGUAGUCAACCUGCCCUCGGGACGGGAACAAUCUCGGGAAACUGAGGCUAAUUCUCGAUAGAUCAAGAUUCCUGGAAUGGGUUUUGGUCUAAAUGGUGUGACAGCAUCUUGUCACUUUCGCCCGAGGAUGGGACUGCGGCCGAUCAGGCUGUUGGUGGGGUAAAGGCCCACCAAACCAGUAACCGGUACGGGCUUUGAGAAAAGGAGCCCGGAGAUGGACACUGAGACAAGGGUCCAGGUCCUACGGGGCGCAGCAGGCGCGAAACCUUUCGCAUGCGCGCAAGCGCGACGAGGUUAUUCCCGAGUGAUUCCGCUGAGGAGAUCUUUCUCAGAUCUAAAUGUCUGGGAAUAGGGGGAGGCAGUCUGUGUCAGCCGCGCGUAA